UACGAAGGGUGCAAGCGUUAAUCGGAAUUACUGGGCGUAAAGCGCGCGUAGGUGGUUUGUUAAGUUGGAUGUGAAAGCCCCGGGCGAAACCUGGGAACUGCCUCCAAAACUGGAAAGCUAGAGUAUGGCAGAGGGUGGGGGAAUUUCCUGUGUAGCGGUGAAAUGCGUAGAGAUAGGAAGGAACACCAGUGGAGAAGGCGACAAACUGGGCUAAUACUGACACUGAGGUGCGAAAGCGUGGGGAGCAAACAGGAUUAGAUACCCAGGUAGUCC
This 273-nucleotide ribosomal RNA is filed under the name uncultured bacterium. RNAcentral describes it as "partial 16S ribosomal RNA". It matches the Rfam family "Bacterial small subunit ribosomal RNA", at positions 524 to 796 of the family's 1533-position model. The record is from RNAcentral.